GAUGAAGAACGUAGCGAAAUGCGAUACUUGGUGUGAAUUGCAGAAUCCCGUGAACCAUCGAGUCUUUGAACGCAAGUUGCGCCCGAAGCCAUUAGGCCGAGGGCACGCCUGCCUGGGCGUCACACGUCGUUGCCCCCCCAUCUACUCCUUCGGGAUUGCGGGGGGCGGAUGAUGGCCUCCCGUGCGCCUCGUCGCGCGGUUGGCAUAAAUGCCAAGUCCUCGGCGACGCACGCCACGACAAUCGGUGGUUGCGAAACCUCGGUUGCCCGUCGUGUGCGGUCGUCGCGCAUCGAGGGCUCGAAAAAAUUGCUGGGUUCCGGCUCGGCUUUCAACGCGACCCCAGGUCAGGCGGGGUUACCCGCUGAAUUUAAGCAUAUCAAUAAGCGGAGGA
RNAcentral lists this unclassified non-coding RNA (391 nucleotides) under soil metagenome. RNAcentral describes it as "partial contains 5.8S ribosomal RNA, internal transcribed spacer 2, and large subunit ribosomal RNA". The stretch from base 1 to 122 matches the Rfam family "5.8S ribosomal RNA", at positions 35 to 154 of the family's 154-position model. The record is from RNAcentral.